GGGGCGGCGGGGAGGGGAAGGCGGGACCGGCAUCAACCCUCCGCCCCCCGGCUCCCCUCGGCUCCCCGCCCCGCUCCGCCCCGCACGGGCAGCUGUCACAGGAGGCGGCGGGGCCGGUCCCGCAGGCAGGAGGCUGCGGGAUGCAGCUCUAAGGCGGUCACUGAGAGCCGCGGUCGCCACCCGCGAGCAGCCCAUGAUGUGCCUGGAAAGCGACGGCUCCUCCGGCAGCAGCCCGGGCUGCGGCGGGCGGCUCCGAGCAGGGGACGAAGAGGAGGAAGAGGACGGUGAGCGGGGCUGCUGCGGUCGGGGAGUUGAAGGAGAAGUGCAGACCCUCUCCGGUAGGAUGAACCCGCCUGCGGUCGGCAAACGACCGGAGCGACCGAUCGCACGCCGCAAAGCGCCCAGCCUCGGCCGGGCCCGGGUGGCGGCCGCCGGCAUCCUCAGCGUGGGCAACGUGCUCAACUACCUGGACCGGUACACGGUGGCAGGUGUGUUACUAGACAUCCAGCAGCACUUUGGAGUCAAAGACAGCGGGGCUGGCUUAUUACAGACAGUUUUCAUCUGUAGCUUCAUGGUGGCAGCGCCGAUCUUUGGUUACCUUGGUGACCGUUUCAACAGGAAGAUCAUUCUCAGCUGCGGGAUCUUCUUUUGGUCAGCUGUCACUUUUUCAAGCUCCUUCAUCACUGAGCAGUAUUUCUGGCUUCUUGUGCUCUCACGGGGCUUGGUCGGCAUUGGUGAAGCAAGUUACUCAACUAUCGCUCCAACCAUCAUAGGAGACCUGUUCAACAAAAACACCAGGACCCUCAUGCUAUCUGUUUUCUAUUUUGCAAUUCCUCUUGGCAGUGGCCUGGGAUACAUCACUGGAUCAAGUGUGAAGCAGGUUGCUGGAGACUGGCACUGGGCACUGCGGGUAUCUCCACUCUUAGGAAUGAUAACAGGCACACUCAUCUUGAUAUUUGUACCUGCUGCUAAAAGAGGAAAUGUUGAACAACUUGGGGGACAGCUGAAGGCUCGAAGCUCAUGGCUAAGAGACAUGAAGGCACUGAUUAGAAACCGCAGCUAUGUGUUCUCAUCAUUGGCCACCUCAGCUGUUUCCUUUGCCACCGGAGCACUUGGCAUGUGGAUCCCUCUCUACCUUCACAGAGCACAAGUUGUGCAGAAGACAGCAGAGACAUGCAGCUCCCAGCCCUGUGGCACCAAAGAUAGCUUGAUCUUCGGAGCCAUCACAUGCUUCACUGGUUUCCUGGGUGUAAUCACAGGGGCUGGGGCAACCAAAUGGUGUCGGUUAAAAACCCAGCGAGCUGAUCCUCUUGUCUGUGCUGUUGGCAUGCUAGGAUCAGCCAUCUUCAUCUGUCUGAUCUUUGUCGCUGCCAAGAGCAGCAUCGUGGGAGCCUAUAUUUGCAUUUUUAUCGGAGAAACUCUUCUGUUUUCAAACUGGGCUAUCACAGCAGACAUACUAAUGUAUGUGGUCAUCCCAACACGCCGUGCAACCGCAGUGGCCUUGCAGAGUUUCACUUCGCACCUUCUGGGAGAUGCUGGCAGUCCUUAUCUGAUUGGAUUUAUCUCAGAUCUGAUACGACAAAGCACAAAGGAGUCCCCGCUCUGGGAGUUCCUCAGCUUGGGGUAUGCACUCAUGCUCUGCCCAUUUGUCGUUGUCCUAGGAGGGAUGUUUUUCCUGGCCACAGCCCUCUUCUUCCUCAGUGACCGAGCCAAAGCUGAACAACAUAAUGAAACCGAUUCGGACCACCUCACGGUUGGCAACUACAGUAAUUCAGAAGACGCUUCCACAUGACACACACACUCCUGGGGGUGAAUCAACUUGUGAUACCACCAGCCUCUGUGAAAGUCUGAGAUGUUGAAGGUGAAGGCAACCACGUGUGGACUCCUGCUUCCAACAACAGUCUCAAGCUCAAAGCCCUUCCCCACUGGAAAAUGGUGGCUCCCUCAGCUCCAUGCCACCCUGGAAGGGCUACGUAGCAGCACCAAAUUCACCACGCCACUCCAGCCUGCAGGGUCAGGCACCUGGAGAUGAGCAGGGCAGCCUGGAACACAAUGCUUCUUGAGCAUAAGGACAUCACAGGUUCCUCUGAGCAUCUAAAGCAACUCUCCACUGGACCCAAGUGAGUGACUGUAGAUUGUGUAUAUGGUUUUAGUUGUAGCCAAUGAAGUCCACAUCGUUACAGGACUUCUGUCCUAUUGAAUGCUGCUGUUUUGCCAGCACUCCCUCACCCAGAGACUGCACUAGUUGGGGACCUAUUCUGUACAUCACUUUUUCUUUAACACUGAAGGCUCAAUUUAGAUUAUUUUUUAUUUAAACAUGUCCUAAGAUGCUUUAUCUGCUAAAGACAUUAGAUGACAGAUAUAUAUAGAUAUAUAUAUAUAUUUAGAUAAACAGUUUUUAUUUAAACAUUUGAAAUCUGGAGCUGCCUGUGCAACCAUACCAGACAUGAAUACGUCCACAACUCUCCUCAUCUCAGUGCCCCGGUGUCAGGCCCUAGAAGGACACCACGGGAAGAGCUCCUGUGGAUGGAUGGAACCUGUCAACUGAGGCUGAAUGAUAGGACAGAGGAGAGAGUUGCAUUGCACUGGGUGUGCUGGUGGUUGUUACAGAAAGGCCCCAAACUUCGGACAGAAAUACCAAGGGGCUCCAGAUUUUGCUCAGUAUAAUAAAUUCAGCCUUACCUAUGAGGUUCACAGGUUUCUAAAAUACCAAAAUCCAUCUGGCUGAAUUGCUUUACCAAGGGCCUGGUAGUGCAAUACUGCUGUGCCAGUAACAUCAUGCUUUGUUUACAUGCAUAUCAUGUUAUGUGUAUUGUCAAUGCUAAUUCUCCCUCAUCAGUAUUUUCUGAGCAGGUAGCCAACACUCUACAGAGCUGUUUCCUUUGGAACAAUGGUUAGGUUUAUGCAUGUCCAUCUCCACACACUGUCCUAGAUUACUCUUAGUGGGAUGCCACUCAGUCAUUUAUCUUCAAGACACAAGGCCAGUGUCUGAAGUGCAUAAAAGAGCUUCAAAUGCAGAAGAGCGUGGCUGUAAAGCAGUCAGAGCUUGUGAUGGUGACUCCUCUAAAAAUAUGAGCAUUUCCUCUUCAUCUGUCACCUAAAAUGCUUCAACAAUGGCUCUAGAUCUGGCUAAACAACUAGAGCCAGAAGUUCUUUGAGUGUGUGGGCAUCCUCUGGAAAAAAGCAAGUGGGUGUUAGAAAAAAUAACAAACAGCAAAUCCAAAACAAUGUUCUGUUUCCCACCUCAUGCCCCUCUUUAGAUUUGCAGGGGAAAUACCAAUGCUGUAGAACCCAAAUUCUUGGCUUUAAAGGCGCAUGAAUUUCUGAUUCCCAUUAAGAAAUUCCUUGUUAAGCUGGUUAAAAAGAAACAAGAGGCAACCCAACAAUUAGUCAUUUCAUUUCAGAGACCAAAGAAGCUUAGCUGUAUUUCCUGAGCUGCUUUUCUGAUAGGCUCUCCCUGUUUUAGCAUUUACUGUCAACAAAAUGAAGCAUUCCUGCUCAAGUUCAGGGGUCAAGAAUUGUCCUUAAACUUAAUUCUCUGAAGGCAACAAUGAAAAGGGAACAAAGAGUUUUAUAGUUUUGCCGUCUCUCCUUGUUUGUGCCAAACUCAAUCCUUGCUGGAGAAGCACAGCACUGUUACAGGAGGCCAGCUUUAUCUUCUGUGUAUAUGAAGGAAAUUGCUGUGGAUGCUUUUUUUAACAAGGAAAAGGGAUGUGAGCAAGCAAGGGAGAAAGAAGUGAGCCCAACUUGCAGCAGUGCCAUGCCAAGGGAUCUCUGAAUUCCUCCUCCCACAUGUUCCAGGCUAAGCAAAGGAAGCCCAAGCAGAAUAGCUCAGUGAAGAUGAACAGGAGAAAGGACAGGAAACCUGGCUGCUGCCCAUUUACAUGUUGUGAUCUGCAUUUUACUGGCUGAAAGCAGAAAGGUUGGAUUUCUUCUUGAGUAUGUCUUGCUUUAGCUGCAUAUUUGUAUUCCUAUCUGGAAGAAUUGUUCAGUUAGAGCUCCUAUAAAAGCUUUUGGUCUAUUAGAGUGAAACCAGCUCACUCAGAUCAACAGGAUUAAGUCAGCAAGAAGAGGUACAUCAAAUCUGGGCAUGGAACAUCCAUGUCAACAAACAGAAACCGGGCCUGUGUUACCAUCCAUGUCCCCUCCUUGGGUUCUAACGCAGUAUUCCCCAUCCCAAGAUGUCAACCCAUUUCUGCCAGUAUGCAACUUGAGCAACAUAUAGAUUGAAUACAGACCGCUUGUAUCAAAGCUGAACAGCAACUCUUAUUAACACUAGUAUUUGUUUUUUUAAAGAAAGGCUGUUAAUUGGAAAAGAUAAUUGAUUUUAAAUACAUAUCUUUUAGUACCCACCACAGCCAAUGAAGCAAGAUUCCAAUCCGUCACAUACAUAAAUGGUUGUUUAGAUCAUCAGUGUUACGUUUCAGACUCAAAACUUCAACAUAAGAUUAAAUAGUCCCAAUUAGAACACAAAUACUUUUAAAGCCCCCGAUCUCCUGCACAUAAAAUGACUUAUGAAUGUCUGCAACUUAGUGUGCAUAAAAAGCGGCUCUUGUAUGCAUUUGAGAACAUGGGAAAACACCACCAAAAGGGAGCAAGUACUACUAAUGUCCUCCCAUCCCAGCACCAAUACAUCUCCUUGGAAGAAAAGCCAAGCGAUGGGAAAGGCAGACAGGUUUUCAGCAUCAGGAUCUGUGCCUGACCCCACAGGUGUAGGGUGUUCAGAGGGGAUGGUCCAGGAUCAACCCUUUUGAAUCCUGACAGCUUUCUUUUGCUUCACUUCAUGAAUGGUGUGUGGUUUUGUUUUUAAGCAAGCAUUAACUCCCUCUGCAGCCAGUACUGCAUUUGCACCAAUGUACUCGCUAUGAAGCAACUAGACUGCUUGUACACAGCAAGAGGAAGAGGUAAUGGGAACUGCACAAAGAGGCAAGAAAAUUACCCAAAAAGCAGCAAGCUGCCAAGCCAAGUAACCACACUGCCUCCUGCUGCUGUCACUCAGCUUGUAUCUGAGUGGGGGAACCCAACAGCCUCUCACCUCUUACAGAACUAGCUAAGGGAGAACCUCAGGGUGACAGAUUGCUAUGAAAUGAAUGGAUGUUGAAUGGAAAUCAGAGUUAUUCUCUGCACCUUCUGCCCUAAUUGUUGUCUUCUCCAUUUGCUUUAUUGUUUGGUAAACCAGCGCUUACUAUCACCUUUACUACGUGAUGUAUGGGAGUAUACAGUAUAUUUUCUUGUUAUACAAGGGAGAGUAUAAAAUAGUUUUCUGAUUUCUUUCAGAAGCAAAUGACUAUUUUAUUUUUUAAGAGCAAUCGAUUGUGAAUCUCAGAGUAUAAAAAAAAAAAGAGAGAGAAAUAAGCCAAAUCUAUACCUUUAUGUAAAUUAAGAAAUAAAAGUAUUUAAAACAUA
Coturnix japonica (Japanese quail) is the source of this 5406-nucleotide non-coding RNA. The record is from RefSeq and is a predicted model, not a curated record. Lineage: Eukaryota; Metazoa; Chordata; Aves; Galliformes; Phasianidae.